Molecule: non-coding RNA, 126 nt
Filed under: Leptobrachium leishanense (Leishan spiny toad)
Lineage: Eukaryota; Metazoa; Chordata; Amphibia; Anura; Megophryidae
Description: U4atac minor spliceosomal RNA (ENSLLEG00000024444.1)
Rfam family: U4atac minor spliceosomal RNA
About the family: U4atac is an essential component of the minor U12-type spliceosome complex which is required for removal of the rarer class of eukaryotic introns (AT-AC, U12-type). These interacting stem loops have been shown to be required for in vivo splicing.
Source: Rfam by way of RNAcentral
ACCAUCCUUGUCUUGGGGUGCGCGGCAACUCAGUGAACGUAUAGUGAGAGUUGUCCUGCUGACGCCACUAACAGCACAAGAGCAUCACUAGUGUGAAAACACUAACACGGUGCAAUUUUUGGAAAC